CGGAUCCAACAAGAUGGCAAUAGAGAAUACGUUGAACAUUGUCCAUUGUAUAAGAAUGUGCUGGCAGAGCUGUACCAUCCAGAGAAGUUCGAAGUUUGAAGUUUCUUGACUGCGCGGUGUUGCAGUUUCUUUUUAAACGAAGUCAGUUGCAAGCACGAGAUUACGUAUGUAAAAAUGGAAACGUUAUUUGGUAUCAAUCUUAUUGAUCGUAAGUAUAUUAAAAUAAGUAUGUCAUAAAUCCGUAAAAGAUUUGGUCAAUAUUCCAUUAUAUUGCUAAACGCUGCACGAAGGAAUGCACAAAGUAGGAAUAGUAUGCAAAUGUUAUCAAACACAUCAGGUGAAACGAACUAGUAAGCCCUAAUCUGUUAGUUUGGAACUCUACAUUGGAAAUUCUAACAUGAAAUGAUGGGAAACAUUAUCGUUUCUUAUUUCAGGCAUUUAUCAUAAUCACGAGAAUUAAAUUGAUUAAAGAGAGUUUCAACGAGUUUUUUUUUCUGUAGUAUCUACUGAACUUAAGCCUAAAGUGCUCGGAUCGAGUCGAUGCAAAUAACUUCGCUUUGAACAUGAGCACCAUAAAUCUUGGUGUCCCGAAAGUCUAACCCAAAUUUUAGAGUCCUAUCAAUGUUAGUUCGCGCACACCGCAAGAAUCCGACGGACCUCUAGAUAUUCAAGGGUUCCCUUUUUCUUACCAGGCACACGGCGACUUUAGUCUAGACCAAAUGCACUAUUAAUAUCCUAACUUUCUCACUAACUAGCUUGUAGGAGGCGUUGUUCUGACGAGACCUUGCCACCAGGAUUCCAUCAGUGUUAACCCUCUGCACUAAUAACAACGAGCCAGAAUCGUGAUAUAAAUACGUAAUCUAUUAAAGAUGAUUGUUUUCUUCCCAAGUUUUAUGAAGAUUGAUCGAAGUUUGCUGUUAUCCAAGCAAACUUUGCUUGGUUUGGUCUUGUUAGUUUUUUGUUGCAAGAAUAUGGAGUAUUCCAAAUUCCUCUUCCUGGACUCUUCCACAUUGGAAUCUGUUCGUUUUAGAGCAAGAAAUACCUUGAUUCGAAUUUCCAUAUAUUUUAGGUACUAUGUUUUGCUAACCUUAAAUAUACAGUGACAUAAAAAAAGGAAUAAACAGUUAUCAACUUAACGAGGGUGUUUCUCAUAUACUUAUCUGUUUAUGCAAAAGCAAUUGCCACAAGUUCUCUAUUCAGAUAUAUUACGGAUUAACUUACCUACAUUUUGUUCAUGUCCAUUUUAGUGUACUAAAUUUUGUAUAUGAAUAAAUCUAUUAUAAUUGUAA
Molecule: long non-coding RNA, 1289 nt
Organism: Megalopta genalis
Lineage: Eukaryota; Metazoa; Arthropoda; Insecta; Hymenoptera; Halictidae
Source: RefSeq, a predicted model, not a curated record